GUCUUUUUAUCCAAUCUGCAACCCUGUGGCGUUUUAUGGGAGAGUUUAAGCCAUUUAGAUUGAUAGAGAUUAUUGACAGAUAUGAUUUUAAUGAUGCCAUUUCUCUUUAAAGUCUUUGUAUCGGUUGUGACUUGCUGCUCUGUAUCACUCUUGGGGCCUUUUUACCUUUAUAGAGCCCCCCUUAAUAUCUCCUGUAGGGCUGGUUUCGUGGUUACGAAAUUGGUUAAUGAUUGGCGAUUUUGGAACGUCUUUAUUUCUCCAUCAAUUCUGAAUGACAGCUUUGCUGGAUAAAGGAUCCUUGGCUGCAUGUUUUUCUCUGAAAGAGCUUUAAAAAUGCCCCCCCAAGCCUUUCUCUCAUUCCAGGUCUCUGUAGACAGGUCUGACGUAAUCCUGAUACCUUUGCCUUGGUACGUGAGAAAUUUCUUUGCCCUGGCCGCUUUCAAUACUGUAUCCUUGGAUCUAAUAUUUGCGAAUUGCACUAUGACAUGCCGUGGCGUAGGUUUGUCCUGGUUGAGCUUGGAUGGGGUCCUCUCUGCCUCUUGGACACGAAUGCUUGUUUCCCUUGCUAGAUUAGGGAAGUUUUCAGCUACAAUUUGUUCAAAUAUCUCUUCUAGACCUCUGUUUUUCUCCACCCCUUCAGGGAUGCCGAUGAUUCUGACAUUGGAUCGUUUCAUAGAGUCAGUAAUCUCCCGUAAUCUACAUUCGUGGGCGUGGAUUUUUUUAAGACCAGCUUCUAUUUUCGUUUUUUCUUCUACUAACCCAUCCUCCAAUUCGCUAACGCGUUCCUCUGCCUCGGUGACCCUGGCCGUCAGAGCCUCUAGUUUUGACUGUAUUUGGCCCAUAGAAUUUUUAAUUUCUGUCAGAUUCGCUCUCAUUUCUGCCCUUAGGGAUUCUAUAUUCUCAGCAACGCUUUCUCUGAUGCUUUUUUCAAGUUUACUCAUCAUCUUGACCAUUGUUGCUCUGAAUUCCAUUUCUGAUAAUUGGGAUACAUCCAUAUGUAUUAAUUCUGUGGCCGAGGCCAAUUCUGUGGCAGAGGCCACAGACUCAUUAUCUUUUCUUUGCUGGGGGGGACUUCUCCUUCUCGUCAUUCUGAUGAAGAGAGAUUGCAGGGUUGUCCAGAGCCCAAGUGUUGACUGGGACCCAGGCCGUGCGCCCUUGUUUUAUAGAGAUCUUAGGGAUGUGGGCUUCUUCCUUAAAGAGUUUAUUUAUUUAUUUGAGAGAGAGAGAGACAGUCAGCAAGAAAGGGAACCCAAGCAGAGGAGUGGGAGAGGAAGAAGCAGG
This 1281-nucleotide long non-coding RNA is filed under the name Ailuropoda melanoleuca (giant panda). RNAcentral describes it as "lncRNA (ENSAMEG00000031176.1)". The record is from RNAcentral. Lineage: Eukaryota; Metazoa; Chordata; Mammalia; Carnivora; Ursidae.